UCGCCCACAACAGAGUGUGCACUUCUAAUACCUUUAAUAACAGUUAUUCCAAAAAUCACCUCAGCCCACUUAAUUAUCAAAACUUGGAAUCUCAACUUCUCACGUUGAAGGCAGGAAUCAACGCCUCUGGUUUUAGCACACAGAAUGAUUUUAUCAGAUCAUUGAGUGGGUGCUUCCUUCUUUUUCUUUUUUAUCUCAGCUGAGUGUUAUUUCGUCUUGAAAAUUAAACCAACCGACAGGCUCUAGGAUUCAGACCCUGUCCAAUUAUUUGAACUGGCUGAUUGCAUGUCAUGGCGGGUCUCUUGUACGAGGGGUGAGAAGCGCAACGCCAUAAUAGUCAAGAGUCUUUAUCCAAUCAGCCAUCUACACAAAAGUUGAGAGGAGAACGUGUCAUCAAUCUCCACCUGGUAGACCAUAAAUUCACAAAAGGCUUGCACAUGCAGGGAUGCUGUACCAACACUUACGCCAUUCCUGACUCGAAAGAAACAACCAGACGAUGCGUGAUAAAUCUUCCACUUGGUUGGAGGAAAUAAAAAACUUGGAGAGCCUUCUAGCUGACCAAAAUAUGCACGACGAGAUGGAUGGGUGGAGUAGCAAGGGCGGUGCCGACCGACUUUCGUCUCAGAGUUUGUUUCUCAGCCAGUAUGUGCUUUCAAUAUUGAUUGAACGAUUAGAAGGGGGCGGCCCACUCGUCAGUCACUUCGACAUAUGCAGAUGUCUUUUUUUGUCCUCCCGAUGAGACUGGAAAAAUAAGAGGCUUCAGAUGAAUGCAUCACAUAUGAGCGGUCCAAUCGAUUUGUCUGCAAUCCAUCUGUUGUUUUCAACAGAAAGAAAAUCGAGUGGAAAAAAAGUCGGUGGGGUUGCGUGCUGUGGCUGUGGAAAGGGGUUUUUCAUUUUUCACAGAACAUGUGCCACCUGUAUUUACACACGAGUUAUUUCAAGGUCCAGGGAAAAUCCACCGGGCCGCAUCCAAGCUGUCCAUCCUAGCAAAACAUCACGGUAGGAGUAAUAACUCUUUCCGGCUGACUUCAACUAAUUUCAUUCUUAGCUCCUUAUGAGGCAUUUGAACCCCGAAAGGAUACGGAGUGCACACAAGUGCAUCAGGAUUACGUCGUAUACCUCUGGGGAAGUGCUUCUAGUAAUCCUCUGCCUCGGAGGAAAUCCCCAGAGUGUUGUUUGCACGAGAGGCUAUUUGACCAGCAGUCCAAGUCUAUCGUCCUAUUUUGCUUGAUAACCACCAGUCAAUAUUUAUUCAACUUUCGCCUUAUUCUUUUCCGUUUUAAAUUUAUCCCAUUUGUCACCGCUUCAUAACAUAAUUCAACAAAUUUAAUUUCACUUUCUGGUAAAUCCGUGUUAAUUAAUUUCUCAUGGUCAAGAUCUCGAGUGACUUCACGGUGUCAGGUACAGAACCUGAAAUUCUUCUCUGUAUUUAUCAAUUCAAUAUUUAACUUGCGCCAGAUUGCACCGUAAACGUAUGUCCCUUCUCCGUUAAGCCAAGUGCCUUUUCACCGUUGUUUGCCAUGAACCUCCGCUCACUCACGUUGAUUUAGGCUUAACGGAUUUACUUCUUUUUCGUCUGUUGCUCACCGAUCACGUGGACAAAUACCCUGAGAACUCGCAUCCCCAUCACCACCCAGUCACUUAAACACACGACUCUAUCGACGAGUUUUGAUGGAUUCUCAACUGCCCCGUUCAUCCCCCUCACCAAUUCACUAGUUUUUUCUACCUAUCAUCUACCCAAUCCCCUCUAGUUGACCUGGGACCUUUCAGCUCUUGUAACAUGAAUCGAAGUGUAAAGAUUCAUCCGGUUUUUUAAAUGAUGGGGGGAUGAAUGUGUGUACACAGUAGGGGCAUUUAGGGCUGUCUUCAACUGACCAUUACACCUGAAUGACUAGAACCUGAAUGAUGAAAAGGACAGCCACCAGCCCUUGAUCUGCCCGACCCACUUCCGGCCCUGACCUUCAAAGAAGAAAAAAAAAACGGUGUCUCUUUCCCGUAAAGUACAACGGACACUGUAAUGACGAAUGUUUCUUUCAUCCCGCUGGAAGAGAUAAGUACAAAGGGAAUCAUGUGCUUGAGACAAUUUUAUGAGAGGGUGCACUCGAUUCCGCUGUUUUCCUCGAGUAACACUUGACGAAUCAGACCCCACAGGUGAAGAAGAUGGUGGAAUGUCCAGGAAGAUUGCAUUGACGCUGAUUCAACGCUGAUUCAACGCUCUCACCCAUGAAAGAAUAAUAAUGAAGGUCCGAAAAUCAUCACUGAUUACACAGCCCAGCCGAUAUUAUUAGAGCCAUGAAGAAUACAACACGGGCUCUCCCAUCCCAGGAGUUCAAAUCAGACGAUUGGGAGAUAUUGCAGGCCCUCAUUGAUCCGAUGUGCCGCUUCUUUAAUGCAACCAAAACGCAAAAUGACACUCAUCGUGAUCCUCUUUUCGUUAAAAUAAGCACGAUGGUGGCUCUGAAUGUAGCUGGUAACGCACCGUGCUGAGUCUCAUAAAUCUUCUUAAAUAUCUCCUCUAUAUCUGGUCAUCAUUCUCUUUCGCAUUGGGGCGUCGAAUAAGGCGCCUUUAAAAUAUUCCUUUUCAGCUGCUGCAUCCAGUGCUCGGAGGCUACACCAGUAGUUGUAAUGAGCAUUCAGGGGAGUUUGUGCGCGGGAGGUUGGCAAUCAGACUCAAUCUCGUUUGAGUUUCUUA
Long non-coding RNA from Fopius arisanus, 2692 nucleotides. RefSeq lists it as uncharacterized. The transcript is spliced from 9 exons. The record is from RefSeq and is a predicted model, not a curated record. Lineage: Eukaryota; Metazoa; Arthropoda; Insecta; Hymenoptera; Braconidae.